GACAGAGGGGGCAAGCGUUGCUCGGAAUUACUGGGCGUAAAGGGCGCGUAGGCGGGAUGGCAAGUCGGUCGUGAAAUCCCUCGGCUCAACCGAGGAACGUCGAUCGAUACUGCUGUUCUUGAGGAUUGCAGAGGAGACUGGAAUUCCCGGUGUAGCGGUGGAAUGCGUAGAGAUCCGGAGGAAGACCGGUGGCGAAGGCGGUCUGCUGGGCAGUUUCUGACACUGAGGCGCGACAGCGUGGGGAGCAAACAGG
Molecule: ribosomal RNA, 253 nt
Filed under: uncultured bacterium
Lineage: Bacteria
Description: partial 16S ribosomal RNA
Rfam family: Bacterial small subunit ribosomal RNA
Source: RNAcentral